RNAcentral lists this ribosomal RNA (2786 nucleotides) under Escherichia coli. RNAcentral describes it as "bacterial LSU rRNA". It matches the Rfam family "Bacterial large subunit ribosomal RNA". The record is from RNAcentral. Lineage: Bacteria; Pseudomonadati; Pseudomonadota; Gammaproteobacteria; Enterobacterales; Enterobacteriaceae.
AGCGUACACGGUGGAUGCCCUGGCAGUCAGAGGCGAUGAAGGACGUGCUAAUCUGCGAUAAGCGUCGGUAAGGUGAUAUGAACCGUUAUAACCGGCGAUUUCCGAAUGGGGAAACCCAGUGUGUUUCGACACACUAUCAUUAACUGAAUCCAUAGGUUAAUGAGGCGAACCGGGGGAACUGAAACAUCUAAGUACCCCGAGGAAAAGAAAUCAACCGAGAUUCCCCCAGUAGCGGCGAGCGAACGGGGAGCAGCCCAGAGCCUGAAUCAGUGUGUGUGUUAGUGGAAGCGUCUGGAAAGGCGCGCGAUACAGGGUGACAGCCCCGUACACAAAAAUGCACAUGCUGUGAGCUCGAUGAGUAGGGCGGGACACGUGGUAUCCUGUCUGAAUAUGGGGGGACCAUCCUCCAAGGCUAAAUACUCCUGACUGACCGAUAGUGAACCAGUACCGUGAGGGAAAGGCGAAAAGAACCCCGGCGAGGGGAGUGAAAAAGAACCUGAAACCGUGUACGUACAAGCAGUGGGAGCACGCUUAGGCGUGUGACUGCGUACCUUUUGUAUAAUGGGUCAGCGACUUAUAUUCUGUAGCAAGGUUAACCGAAUAGGGGAGCCGAAGGGAAACCGAGUCUUAACUGGGCGUUAAGUUGCAGGGUAUAGACCCGAAACCCGGUGAUCUAGCCAUGGGCAGGUUGAAGGUUGGGUAACACUAACUGGAGGACCGAACCGACUAAUGUUGAAAAAUUAGCGGAUGACUUGUGGCUGGGGGUGAAAGGCCAAUCAAACCGGGAGAUAGCUGGUUCUCCCCGAAAGCUAUUUAGGUAGCGCCUCGUGAAUUCAUCUCCGGGGGUAGAGCACUGUUUCGGCAAGGGGGUCAUCCCGACUUACCAACCCGAUGCAAACUGCGAAUACCGGAGAAUGUUAUCACGGGAGACACACGGCGGGUGCUAACGUCCGUCGUGAAGAGGGAAACAACCCAGACCGCCAGCUAAGGUCCCAAAGUCAUGGUUAAGUGGGAAACGAUGUGGGAAGGCCCAGACAGCCAGGAUGUUGGCUUAGAAGCAGCCAUCAUUUAAAGAAAGCGUAAUAGCUCACUGGUCGAGUCGGCCUGCGCGGAAGAUGUAACGGGGCUAAACCAUGCACCGAAGCUGCGGCAGCGACACUAUGUGUUGUUGGGUAGGGGAGCGUUCUGUAAGCCUGUGAAGGUGUGCUGUGAGGCAUGCUGGAGGUAUCAGAAGUGCGAAUGCUGACAUAAGUAACGAUAAAGCGGGUGAAAAGCCCGCUCGCCGGAAGACCAAGGGUUCCUGUCCAACGUUAAUCGGGGCAGGGUGAGUCGACCCCUAAGGCGAGGCCGAAAGGCGUAGUCGAUGGGAAACAGGUUAAUAUUCCUGUACUUGGUGUUACUGCGAAGGGGGGACGGAGAAGGCUAUGUUGGCCGGGCGACGGUUGUCCCGGUUUAAGCGUGUAGGCUGGUUUUCCAGGCAAAUCCGGAAAAUCAAGGCUGAGGCGUGAUGACGAGGCACUACGGUGCUGAAGCAACAAAUGCCCUGCUUCCAGGAAAAGCCUCUAAGCAUCAGGUAACAUCAAAUCGUACCCCAAACCGACACAGGUGGUCAGGUAGAGAAUACCAAGGCGCUUGAGAGAACUCGGGUGAAGGAACUAGGCAAAAUGGUGCCGUAACUUCGGGAGAAGGCACGCUGAUAUGUAGGUGAAGUCCCUCGCGGAUGGAGCUGAAAUCAGUCGAAGAUACCAGCUGGCUGCAACUGUUUAUUAAAAACACAGCACUGUGCAAACACGAAAGUGGACGUAUACGGUGUGACGCCUGCCCGGUGCCGGAAGGUUAAUUGAUGGGGUCAGCGCAAGCGAAGCUCUUGAUCGAAGCCCCGGUAAACGGCGGCCGUAACUAUAACGGUCCUAAGGUAGCGAAAUUCCUUGUCGGGUAAGUUCCGACCUGCACGAAUGGCGUAAUGAUGGCCAGGCUGUCUCCACCCGAGACUCAGUGAAAUUGAACUCGCUGUGAAGAUGCAGUGUACCCGCGGCAAGACGGAAAGACCCCGUGAACCUUUACUAUAGCUUGACACUGAACAUUGAGCCUUGAUGUGUAGGAUAGGUGGGAGGCUUAGAAGUGUGGACGCCAGUCUGCAUGGAGCCGACCUUGAAAUACCACCCUUUAAUGUUUGAUGUUCUAACGUUGACCCGUAAUCCGGGUUGCGGACAGUGUCUGGUGGGUAGUUUGACUGGGGCGGUCUCCUCCUAAAGAGUAACGGAGGAGCACGAAGGUUGGCUAAUCCUGGUCGGACAUCAGGAGGUUAGUGCAAUGGCAUAAGCCAGCUUGACUGCGAGCGUGACGGCGCGAGCAGGUGCGAAAGCAGGUCAUAGUGAUCCGGUGGUUCUGAAUGGAAGGGCCAUCGCUCAACGGAUAAAAGGUACUCCGGGGAUAACAGGCUGAUACCGCCCAAGAGUUCAUAUCGACGGCGGUGUUUGGCACCUCGAUGUCGGCUCAUCACAUCCUGGGGCUGAAGUAGGUCCCAAGGGUAUGGCUGUUCGCCAUUUAAAGUGGUACGCGAGCUGGGUUUAGAACGUCGUGAGACAGUUCGGUCCCUAUCUGCCGUGGGCGCUGGAGAACUGAGGGGGGCUGCUCCUAGUACGAGAGGACCGGAGUGGACGCAUCACUGGUGUUCGGGUUGUCAUGCCAAUGGCACUGCCCGGUAGCUAAAUGCGGAAGAGAUAAGUGCUGAAAGCAUCUAAGCACGAAACUUGCCCCGAGAUGAGUUCUCCCUGACUCCUUGA